GACGAACGCUGGCGGCGUGCUUAACACAUGCAAGUCGAGCGGUAAGGCCCUUUCGGGGGUACACGAGCGGCGAACGGGUGAGUAACACGUGGGUGACCUGCCCUCAGCUCUGGGAUAAGCCUGGGAAACCGGGUCUAAUACCGGAUAUGACUCCAUGACGCAUGUUGUGGGGUGGAAAGCCUUGUGCGGCUGAGGAUGGGCCCGCGGCCUAUCAGCUUGUUGGUGGGGGAUGGCCUACCAAGGCGACGACGGGUAGCCGGCCUGAGAGGGCGACCGGCCACACUGGGACUGAGACACGGCCCAGACUCCUACGGGAGGCAGCAGUGGGGAAUCUUGCGCAAUGGGCGAAAGCCUGACGCAGCGACGCCGCGUGAGGGAUGACGG
This 384-nucleotide ribosomal RNA is filed under the name uncultured bacterium. RNAcentral's name for it is "bacterial SSU rRNA". It matches the Rfam family "Bacterial small subunit ribosomal RNA", at positions 28 to 414 of the family's 1533-position model. The record is from RNAcentral.